Molecule: ribosomal RNA, 254 nt
Filed under: uncultured bacterium
Lineage: Bacteria
Description: partial 16S ribosomal RNA
Rfam family: Bacterial small subunit ribosomal RNA
Source: RNAcentral
GACGGAGGGGGCAAGCGUUGUUCGGAAUUAUUGGGCGUAAAGGGCUCGUAGGCGGACCGGUGUGUCUGGCGUGAAAUCUCCACUGCUUAACAGGGAGGGGCCGCUGGAAACUGCCGAUCUUGAGUAUGGUAGAGGACCAUGGAAUUCCGGGUGUAGCGGUGGAAUGCGUAGAUAUCCGGAAGAACACCGGUGGCGAAGGCGGUGGUCUGGACCAAAGCUGACGCCGAGGAGCGAAAGCCAGGGGAGCAAACGGG